Molecule: ribosomal RNA, 443 nt
Filed under: uncultured bacterium
Lineage: Bacteria
Description: partial 16S ribosomal RNA
Rfam family: Bacterial small subunit ribosomal RNA
Source: RNAcentral
CCUACGGGUGGCAGCAGUUAGGAAUAUUGGGCAAUGGAGGAAACUCUGACCCAGCAACGCCGCGUGAAGGAAGAAGGUUUUCGGAUUGUAAACUUCUGAUCUGUGGGACGAAGGAAUUGACGGUACCACCGGAGAAAGCCACGGCUAACUACGUGCCAGCAGCCGCGGUAAUACGUAGGUGGCGAGCGUUGUCCGGAAUAACUGGGCGUAAAGGGAGCAUAGGUGGUUGAUUAAGUUAAAUGUGAAAGCCCAGGGCUAAACCCUGGAACUGCAUUUAAUACUGGUCGGCUAGAGUAUAGGAGGGGGAGACGGAAUUUCUAGUGUAGCGGUGAAAUGCGUAGAUAUGUGGAAGAACACCGGAGGCGAAGGCGGUUUACUGGACUACAACUGACACUGAGGCUCGAAAGCGUGGGGAGCAAACAGGAUUAGAUACCCGUGUAGUC